AGUGCCCUCCCUUUUCGGCCGCGGCGCGUGACUGGGCUUGGUGGAGUUUCAAGAUGCUGAUGAACUUAAGGUCUGGCGCUUGAAAGAAUCAGUGAAGCUUUUCAAGUAGAGGAGUGGUGUUUCCAGUGAAAUCUAUGGCAAGAUGGUUUGGGGUCACUAUCUACAUGAACUGCCAAGUUGGAAAAUCAAAAAUACAUCAAAAUCACUCUUGGGACAUAAGUCACGGAAGUGACUCAUGCACACAAUAAAUACCCAAGAAGCAGGACCAGACGGCAGUUGUGUAUUGGCACGCUCAUCAGUGCUGCAAAAAUUCCCCUUCUGGAUGGCAACAACAAUGCUGUAUCCACAGCAGCAUUUUAAAUCUCACCUCUGAUUACUCUACUUUGAAGAAAGGAAUGGAACAGAAGGUGUCUGCAUAACUAAAUGGGGAUCUAGAGAAAGUGGAGACUGCCUCUGGAGCAGGGAGGUGAGUGGACCAGAUCACUGUGGGCCUGGGCCUACUCAGCUGAUUUUCAAGCUAAAACCAGGGGUAACUUUUCCUCUUGAGACGAAAGCCAUGCUCACAUUCUGUGAACAGCCAGAGAUGUGUUCGAAAGGCUUACUUUUAUUUUGUACUAGAAAAGAUUGUCUUUCCAAAAUUUACCUCGUAUUCAUAAACUGGAAAGUUCUGAUGGCAAUAUUUUGUUACAAAAUUGUCAUUAAUCACAAUCCAGGAUUAUGCCACCAUGACUAGAAGGCCCCCUAAUGGAGUUUAUCUGCACUGCAAGGGGCCAGUUGUCUCAGAAUCAUCCUCCGUUGACAUCUCCAUCUCCAGGACAGCUCCACACUAAUCUGUUUCAAAGACAAAAUCCAGUCUAAUCAGUUUGAUGUAUGUUUCUGGGAAUAGAGCCGAAUGUUGUAGCUGAUGGAAUGGAGUCUCAUACCAUUGAUUUUGCAGCUGGACAAGUGCCCUGCCAUGUUACUGCCACUCUUUAAGGCAGAAUAGAGCACAUUGUAUCAUUUAUAGGCCUCUCACAGUGAGAAAUAUGUGGAACUUUGGAAAUCAGAAUCUAAAACUGCAGUCCAAUGGGGUAGCCACUAUUCACAUGUGCUAUUGAGUACCUAAAAUGUGGCUAGACCAAGUUGACAUGUGCUGAAGGGUGAAAAACACCAGGAGUGAAGAAUUAACUUGAAAAAAAUGUAAACUAUCUCAAUUUUAUAUUGAUUACAAAUUAAAUGAUGUUUUGAAUAUAUUGAGUUAAAUGAAAUACAUUUUUUAAUGAUACAUGAUGCGUAUUAUAUUUCUGUUGGACAGUACUGGUCUAAAACAGUUGAUUCACUAUCCAGUAGAGAGAAAGGUAUUGCUGUUUUACCAUAUGUGACCUUCAGGGAAAAGAAGAAUAAAAUUAGCACUUGAAAAUGGAAAAAC
Molecule: long non-coding RNA, 1408 nt
Organism: Homo sapiens (human)
Lineage: Eukaryota; Metazoa; Chordata; Mammalia; Primates; Hominidae
Gene: SNHG26
Product: small nucleolar RNA host gene 26
Source: Ensembl